This 253-nucleotide ribosomal RNA is filed under the name uncultured bacterium. Its description in RNAcentral is "partial 16S ribosomal RNA". It matches the Rfam family "Bacterial small subunit ribosomal RNA", at positions 524 to 776 of the family's 1533-position model. The record is from RNAcentral.
UACAGAGGUGGCAAGCGUUGUUCGGAAUUACUGGGCGUAAAGGGCGCGUAGGCGGUCUUGUAAGUCUUGUGUGAAAUCCCUCGGCUUAACUGAGGAACUGCACGGGAUACUGCAUGACUUGAGAUCGGGAGAGGGAAGCGGAAUUCCGGGUGUAGCGGUGAAAUGCGUAGAUAUCCGGAGGAACACCGGUGGCGAAGGCGGCUUCCUGGACCGACACUGACGCUGAGGCGCGAAAGCUAGGGGAGCGAACGGG